CAACCGAGAUUCCGAAAGUAGCGGCGAGCGAAAUUGGACUAGCCCUUAAGCUUUACACGCGUUAGACGAACGGUCUGGAAAGUCCGACGAUACAGGGUGAUAGUCCCGUAGUUGACGACGUGUGUUCAGUGAAAUCGAGUAGGGCGGGACACGUGAUAUCCUGUCUGAAUAUGGGGGGACCAUCCUCCAAGGCUAAAUACUACUGACUGACCGAUAGUGAACCAGUACCGUGAGGGAAAGGCGAAAAGAACCCCUGUGAGGGGAGUGAAAUAGAACCUGAAACCGUGUACGUACAAGCAGUAGGAGCAGGCUUUGUCCUGUGACUGCGUACCUUUUGUAUAAUGGGUCAGCGACUUAUAUUCAGUGGCAAGGUUAACCAUCUAGGGGAGCCGUAGGGAAACCGAGUCUUAACUGGGCGUUCAGUCUCUGGAUAUAGACCCGAAACCAGGUGAUCUAGCCAUGGGCAGGUUGAAGGUUGAGUAACAUCAACUGGAGGACCGAACCGACUAAUGUUGAAAAAUUAGCGGAUGACUUGUGGCUAGGGGUGAAAGGCCAAUCAAACCUGGAGAUAGCUGGUUCUCCCCGAAAGCUAUUUAGGUAGCGCCUCGGACGAAUACUACUGGGGGUAGAGCACUGUUAAGGCUAGGGGGUCAUCCCGACUUACCAACCCUUUGCAAACUCCGAAUACCAGUAAGUACUAUCCGGGAGACACACGGCGGGUGCUAACGUCCGUCGUGGAGAGGGAAACAACCCAGACCGCCAGCUAAGGUCCCAAAUUACUACUAAGUGGGAAACGAUGUGGGAAGGCUCAGACAGCCAGGAUGUUGGCUUAGAAGCAGCCAUCAUUUAAAGAAAGCGUAAUAGCUCACUGGUCGAGUCGGCCUGCGCGGAAGAUGUAACGGGGCUAAGUAGUAAACCGAAGCUGCGGCAAUGUGCUUUUGCACAUUGGGUAGGGGAGCGUUCUGUAAGCGGUUGAAGGUGUGUGGUAACGC
RNAcentral lists this ribosomal RNA (992 nucleotides) under Vibrio parahaemolyticus. RNAcentral describes it as "partial 23S ribosomal RNA". It matches the Rfam family "Bacterial large subunit ribosomal RNA", at positions 226 to 1269 of the family's 2925-position model. Lineage: Bacteria; Pseudomonadati; Pseudomonadota; Gammaproteobacteria; Vibrionales; Vibrionaceae. The record is from RNAcentral.